Molecule: microRNA, 21 nt
Filed under: Panagrellus redivivus
Lineage: Eukaryota; Metazoa; Nematoda; Chromadorea; Rhabditida; Panagrolaimidae
Description: prd-miR-255-5p
Gene: prd-miR-255-5p
Source: miRBase by way of RNAcentral
GUAAGAAAUCAGUUCGGUUUU